This 497-nucleotide ribosomal RNA is filed under the name uncultured bacterium. RNAcentral's name for it is "partial 16S ribosomal RNA". It matches the Rfam family "Bacterial small subunit ribosomal RNA", at positions 28 to 507 of the family's 1533-position model. The record is from RNAcentral.
GACGAACGCUGGCGGCGUGCCUAAUACAUGCAAGUUGAGCGCUGAAGGUUGGUACUUGUACCAACUGGAUGAGCAGCGAACGGGUGAGUAACGCGUGGGGAAUCUGCCUUUGAGCGGGGGACAACAUUUGCAAACGAAUGCUAAUACCGCAUAAAAACUUUAAACACAAGUUUUAAGUUUGAAAGAUGCAAUUGCAUCACUCAAAGAUGAUCCCGCGUUGUAUUAGCUAGUUGGUGAGGUAAAGGCUCACCAAGGCGAUGAUACAUAGCCGACCUGAGAGGGUGAGCGGCCACAUUGGGACUGAGACACGGCCCAAACUCCUACGGGAGGCAGCAGUAGGGAAUCUUCGGCAAUGGACGAAAGUCUGACCGAGCAACGCCGCGUGAGGGAAGAAGGUUUUCGGAUCGUAAAACUCUGUUGGUAGAGAAGAACGUUGGUGAGAGUGGAAAGCUCAUCAAGUGACGGUAACUACCCAGAAAGGGACGGCUAACUACGUG